This 442-nucleotide ribosomal RNA is filed under the name uncultured bacterium. Its description in RNAcentral is "partial 16S ribosomal RNA". It matches the Rfam family "Bacterial small subunit ribosomal RNA", at positions 338 to 795 of the family's 1533-position model. The record is from RNAcentral.
CCUACGGGUGGCAGCAGUGGGGAAUAUUGGGCAAUGGGCGCAAGCCUGACCCAGCAACGCCGCGUGAAGGAAGAAGGCUCUCGGGUUGUAAACUUCCUUUCUGGGGGACGAACAAAUGACGGUACCCCAGGAAUAAGCCAUGGCUAACUACGUGCCAGCAGCCGCGGGAAUACGUAGGUGGCAAGUGUUAUCCGGAUUUAUUGGGUGUAAAGGGCGUGUAGGCGGGAAUGCAAGUCAGAUGUGAAAACUCAGGGCCCAACCCUGAGCCUGCAGUUGAAACUGUGUUUCUUGAGUGGUGGAGAGGCAAGCGGAAUGCGGGGUGUAGCGGUGAAAUGCGUAGAUAUACGGAGGAACACCGGUGGCGAAGGCGGAGUGCUGGACAGUAACUGACGCUGAGGCGCGAAAGCGUGGGGAGCAAACAGGAUUAGAUACCCGAGUAGUC